CCUUGCCUUGGGACCUUGAGUUCCCUCUGAACUUGGAUAUUUGAGGGCGUGCCCUUCUACACUACACUAUAAUUGGAUUCUGCAAUAUAUUUGGGUUGUAACUACUGCCCAGAGUCCCCUUUAUGGCUCUUAGGAACUUUGAUACACCCUAAAAGAGAGAAAGGCUUUGGAAAAUCCUGAUCUUCGAAGUUGGUUGAUCUCAUAUUUUGGGCCCUUAGUCCGAAUUAGGCUCCUUGCUUGUAGUUCGAUUUCUGAUGUAAUUUUUUUUAAACUUUGGUCUGUAAUAAGUUAUAAUAACUCAUAGGGUAUAUAGUGAAAAGGGGAAGGGUUACUCAUAUAUGCAUGUUGGUAGACAUCAUGUUCUUAGGCAUUUAUUCCUACAAAUCUCAUUCUUCUUAUAAGUUGUUUCAUUACUGCAUUAGAAAUCUUGCCUAUAAGGUAUGCAUUUCAUCUAGAAAUAAUGCCUAUAAGUUGUUUCAUUACCGCAUUAGAAAUCUUGCCUAUAAGUUAUGCAUUUCAUAUAGAAAUCCUG
RNAcentral lists this long non-coding RNA (532 nucleotides) under Nicotiana benthamiana. RNAcentral's name for it is "long non-coding RNA (NBEN_LNC042013)". Lineage: Eukaryota; Viridiplantae; Streptophyta; Magnoliopsida; Solanales; Solanaceae. The record is from RNAcentral.